CCUACGGGUGGCAGCAGUGGGGAAUAUUGCGCAAUGGGGGAAACCCUGACGCAGCAACGCCGCGUGAGUGAAGAAGUAUCUCGGUAUGUAAAGCUCUAUCAGCGGGGAAGAAGGAAGACGGUACCCGACUAAUAAGCCCCGGCUAACUACGUGCAAGCAGCCGCGGGAAUACGUAGGGGGCGAGCGUUAUCCGGAUUUACUGGGGGUAAAGGGAGCGUAGGCGGUGGGGCAAGUCUGAAGUGAAAGCCCGUGGCUCAACCGCGGAACCGCUGUGGAAACUGCGAGGCUGGAGUGCUGGAGAGGUAUGCGGAAUUCCUGGUGUAGCGGUGAAAUGCGUAGAUAUCAGGAGGAACACCGGUGGCGAAGGCGGCUUACUGGACAGUGACUGACGUUGAGGCUCGAAAGCGUGGGGAGCGAACAGGAUUAGAUACCCUUGUAGUC
Molecule: ribosomal RNA, 441 nt
Filed under: uncultured bacterium
Lineage: Bacteria
Description: partial 16S ribosomal RNA
Rfam family: Bacterial small subunit ribosomal RNA
Source: RNAcentral